This 87-nucleotide transfer RNA is filed under the name Paraglaciecola sp. RNAcentral's name for it is "tRNA-Leu". It matches the Rfam family "tRNA". Rfam says of the family: Transfer RNA (tRNA) molecules are approximately 80 nucleotides in length. Lineage: Bacteria; Pseudomonadati; Pseudomonadota; Gammaproteobacteria; Alteromonadales; Alteromonadaceae. RNAcentral also lists the same sequence under 2 other names. The record is from RNAcentral.
GCCCGGGUGGUGAAAUCGGUAGACACAAGGGAUUUAAAAUCCCUCGAUCGUAAGGUCGUGCCAGUUCAAGUCUGGCUCCGGGCACCA